Molecule: long non-coding RNA, 728 nt
Organism: Passer domesticus (house sparrow)
Lineage: Eukaryota; Metazoa; Chordata; Aves; Passeriformes; Passeridae
Exons: 4
Source: RefSeq, a predicted model, not a curated record
CCUGGCCCCAAGGGCACUGUUGGCUCAUGGACAGCUUGUUGUCCACCAGGACCUCCAACCCCUUCUCCUCAGAGCUCCUUUGCAGCAGCUCAGCCUCUAGCCUGUUCUGGUGCCUGGGGUUGCUCCUCCCCAGGGCUGCACAGCUCUAGGGUGUAUUGGCCACUCCUUCCAGCUCUAGGGUGUAUUGGCCACUCCUUCCAGCUCUUGGGGGUAUUGGCCACGCCUUCCAGCUUCCUGCCAUCAGUGAGCUUGCUGAGGAGGCACCUCCCCUUUAUCCAAAUCAUUCAUGGAUAAGUCAAACAAUACUGGACCCAGUACUGUAUUGAGCCUCAGGGGACACCAGUAGUGACAGGCCUCCGACUAGACCCUGUGCCAUUGUUUAUGACCCUCUGGGAUCUGCCAGAUUGAUGCCAAUCAAUUCUCAAUCCUUAAUGUUCACUCAUCCAACCCUCACACCCUGAGUUUGCCUGAGAGGAUGUUGUGAGAAACAAAGUUGAGAGCCUUGCUGAAGUCAAAGUAGACAAAGUCCACUGAUCUCCCCUCACCCAUCCAGGUAGUUGGUUCAUCACAGAAGUCAGUCAGUUCUUUUCCGUACUUGACAGAAGAUUUGCACAGGACAAACUAGCUUGACAGAGGACAAGUCAGCCAGCUGUUGAGAAGGAGAAUGAGACUAUGAAACUAAGACCAAGGAUGGACAGGAGGAAGUGGCACUGAGGUGGGGUGACAUU